RNAcentral lists this ribosomal RNA (223 nucleotides) under uncultured Lactobacillus sp. RNAcentral describes it as "partial 16S ribosomal RNA". It matches the Rfam family "Bacterial small subunit ribosomal RNA", at positions 139 to 354 of the family's 1533-position model. The record is from RNAcentral. Lineage: Bacteria; Bacillati; Bacillota; Bacilli; Lactobacillales; Lactobacillaceae.
CGUGAUAACACCUGGAAACAGAUGCUAAUACCGGAUAACAACAGAUGAUGCCUAUCAACUGUUUAAAAGAUGGUUCUGCUAUCACUCUUGGAUGGACCUGCGGUGCAUUAGCUAGUUGGUAGGGUAACGGCCUACCAAGGCGAUGAUGCAUAGCCGAGUUGAGAGACUGAUCGGCCACAUUGGGACUGAGACACGGCCCAAACUCCUACGGGAGGCAGCAGGC